UACGUAGGCAGCAAGCGUUGUUCGGAAUUACUGGGCGUAAAGAGUGUGUAGGCGGUGUUCUAAGUGUGGUGUGAAAUCUCCCGGCUCAACUGGGAGGGUGCGCCGCAGACUGGAAUGCUAGAGUAUGGGAGAGGUAAGCGGAAUUCCUGGUGUAGCGGUGAAAUGCGUAGAUAUCAGGAGGAACACCUGUGGUGUAGACAGCUUACUGGACCAUGACUGACGCUGAGACACGAAAGCGUGGGUAGCAAACAAG
RNAcentral lists this ribosomal RNA (253 nucleotides) under uncultured bacterium. RNAcentral's name for it is "partial 16S ribosomal RNA". It matches the Rfam family "Bacterial small subunit ribosomal RNA", at positions 524 to 776 of the family's 1533-position model. The record is from RNAcentral.